RNAcentral lists this unclassified non-coding RNA (302 nucleotides) under plant metagenome. RNAcentral's name for it is "partial contains 5.8S ribosomal RNA, internal transcribed spacer 2, and large subunit ribosomal RNA". The stretch from base 1 to 103 matches the Rfam family "5.8S ribosomal RNA", at positions 52 to 154 of the family's 154-position model. The record is from RNAcentral.
AAUGCGAUAAGUAGUGUGCAUUGCAGAAUUCAGUGAAUCAUCGAAUCUUUGAACGCACAUUGCGCCCCUUGGUAUUCCAUGGGGCAUGCCUGUUCGAGCGUCAUUUGUACCCUCAAGCUCUGCUUGGUGUUGGGUGUUUGUCCUCUCUCUGCAUUGGACUCGCCUUAAAGCAAUUGGCAGCCGGCGUAUUGGCCUGGGAGCGCAGCACAUUUUGCGAUCUCUGUCAGAUUACGACGGCAUCCAUCAAGCCUUUUUAUCACUUUUGACCUCGGAUCAGGUAGGGAUACCCGCUGAACUUAAGC